UGAAGAUAAUCUGGCAGUGGAAUCUGUUACUCCAUUGAUUGAUAGUGUUGGNUCAACUGAUCUGGCUGGAUAAGCAGAUUUCUCCUUCCUCCCAAACUGCUCCAUGUGCAUCCCUUCCAAAACUAUACACUCAGAGGAAGAGGACAAUCAUUUCAAUGUAGAAGGAGUGCAAUCUAAUCACUGAAGCCCUUGCUACACAUAGGUCUCUGCAGGACAUCCCACUGAGCUUCAGGUUAGAAGAGAACAGAAUAGAUAUAGUUAAAGAAGAUGCAAUGCAUUUGUCC
Molecule: small RNA, 284 nt
Filed under: Salvator merianae (Argentine black and white tegu)
Lineage: Eukaryota; Metazoa; Chordata; Lepidosauria; Squamata; Teiidae
Description: 7SK RNA (ENSSMRG00000005251.1)
Rfam family: 7SK RNA (bases 4-183)
About the family: 7SK was discovered as an abundant small nuclear RNA in the mid-70s but a possible function has only recently been suggested. Two independent studies have found that 7SK RNA binds the CDK9/cyclin T complex (known as elongation factor P-TEFb).
Source: RNAcentral